GCCUAGCCGUAACACACAAUUAAACAACCAAUUGUUCGCCAAACAACUACGAGCUAUACUUGAAACUUAAAAGACUUGACGGUACUUCAUCACGGCCUAGAGGAGCCUGUCUAAUAACCGACAAUCCACGAUUAACCCAACCCCUUCUUGCCCAACAGUCUAUAUACCGCCGUCGCCAGCUUACCUUGUAAAAGAAAUAAAGUGAGCUAAAUAAUACAACACUAAAACGACAGGUCGAGGUGUAACUUAUGAAGGGGCCAAGAUGGGCUACAUUCUCUCCGAGAAUACGAAUAACACUAUGAAAUUAGUGCUUGAAGACGGAUUUAGCAGUAAGCUAAGAAUAAAAUACUUAACUGAACAUAACGCAAUGAAGUGCGUACACACCGCCCGUCAUCCCUGCCAUCAUAAUAUAAACCUUAAUAAACCAACUUAAGAGCUAAUUCAGGGCAAGUCGUAACAUGGUAAGUGUACUGGAAAGUGUACUUAGAAA
RNAcentral lists this ribosomal RNA (490 nucleotides) under Gloydius brevicauda (short-tailed mamushi). RNAcentral's name for it is "partial 12S ribosomal RNA". It matches the Rfam family "Bacterial small subunit ribosomal RNA", at positions 832 to 1522 of the family's 1533-position model. Lineage: Eukaryota; Metazoa; Chordata; Lepidosauria; Squamata; Viperidae. The record is from RNAcentral.